RNAcentral lists this long non-coding RNA (512 nucleotides) under Elaeis guineensis (African oil palm). RNAcentral's name for it is "long non-coding RNA (EGUI_LNC036480)". Lineage: Eukaryota; Viridiplantae; Streptophyta; Magnoliopsida; Arecales; Arecaceae. The record is from RNAcentral.
UAGGCCAUUGACUAUAAUUUUUUAUAAAUUAUAAUCAUGUGCUUAUAUAAAAAUUUUCAUGUUAGCUUUCUAAUAGAUAUAAUUUGAUCUAUUAAAUAGUGGAGGUCUAUCUAUAGGAUAUCUUUCAUUAAACAAGAAUUUUAUUUGGAUUGUCAUGAUCUUUAACUCUAGACCGCUAGAUCAACAACAAAUAACAGAGCACCUGUUCUAAUACUAAUUGUUGACCAGAAAGUAGCAACCCAAGAGGAGGGGGUGAAUAGGGUUCUUUAAAAAUUUUAAUCAAAUUUAGGCUCUUAACAAGUAUGUGCUUCAGAGUAACUUAACUUAGUAUAGUUGUAACGUAAAUGUAAUAAACUAUAGUGAAAUUAAUAUAUUAAAGCAAUAAGGCAAGAAUUAAAUACAAGUAAAGAAAGUAAGAUGAUGAAGCAAAGAAGAAUCAAAGGCAUAGUACAAACACAUAAGAAUUUUAUAGUGGUUUGAUGCAACUCUGCACCUACGUCUAUUCUCCAAGC